Molecule: unclassified non-coding RNA, 303 nt
Organism: Callithrix jacchus (white-tufted-ear marmoset)
Lineage: Eukaryota; Metazoa; Chordata; Mammalia; Primates; Cebidae
Rfam family: Metazoan signal recognition particle RNA
About the family: The signal recognition particle (SRP) is a universally conserved ribonucleoprotein. It is involved in the co-translational targeting of proteins to membranes.
Source: Ensembl
GCCGGGCGCGGUAGUGUGUGCCUAUAGUCCCAGCUACUCGGGCGGCUGAGGUGGGAGAAUCGCUUGAGCACAGGAGCUCUGGGCUGUAGCACGCUAUGCCAAUCGGGUGUCCGCACUAAGUUCGGCAUCAAUAUGGUGACCUCCCGGGAGCAGGGGACCACCAGGUUGCCUAAGGAGCGGUGAACCGGCCCAGGUCGGAAAUGGAGCAGGUCAAAACUCCCGUGCUGAUCAGUAGUGGGAUCACACUUGUGAAUAGCCACUGCACUCCAGCCGGGACAACUAUUUUUUAAGACCCCAUGUCUU